UACGUAGGGGGCUAGCGUUGUCCGGAAUCAUUGGGCGUAAAGCGCGCGUAGGCGGCCCCGUAAGUCCGCUGUGAAAGUCAAAGGCUCAACCUUUGAAAGCCGGUGGAUACUGUGGGGCUAGAGUCCGGAAGAGGCGAGUGGAAUUCCUGGUGUAGCGGUGAAAUGCGCAGAUAUCGGGAAGAACACCCGUGGCGAAGGCGGCUCUCUGGGACGGUACUGACGCUGAGACGCGAAAAGCGUGGGGAGCGAACAGG
This 254-nucleotide ribosomal RNA is filed under the name uncultured bacterium. RNAcentral's name for it is "partial 16S ribosomal RNA". It matches the Rfam family "Bacterial small subunit ribosomal RNA", at positions 524 to 776 of the family's 1533-position model. The record is from RNAcentral.